AUUGAACGCUGGCGGCAGGCCUAACACAUGCAAGUCGAACGAGUGGCGGACGGGUGAGUAAUGUCUGGGAAACUGCCUGAUGGCGGGGGAUAUCUACUGGCAACGGUAGCUACUACCGCAUACCAUCAGAUGUGCCCAGAUGGGAUUAGCUAGUUGGUGGGGUAACGGCUCACCCAGGCGACGAUCCCUAGCUGGUCUGAUAGGAUGACAAGCCACCCUGGAACUGAGACACGGUCCAGAGUACGACGGGAGGCAGCAGUGGGGAAUAUGGCACAAUGGGCGCAAGCCUGAUGCAGCCAUGCCUCGUGUAUGAAGAAGGCCUUCGGGUUGUAAAGUACUUUCAGCGGGGAGGCGUUACCCGCAGAAGAAGCACCGGCUAACUCCGGGCCAGCAGCCGCGGUAAUUC
RNAcentral lists this ribosomal RNA (406 nucleotides) under uncultured bacterium. Its description in RNAcentral is "partial 16S ribosomal RNA". It matches the Rfam family "Bacterial small subunit ribosomal RNA", at positions 30 to 526 of the family's 1533-position model. The record is from RNAcentral.